GUAGGGAAUAUUGCGCAAUGGACGAAAGUCUGACGCAGCGACGCCGCGUGAGUGAUGAAGGCCUUAGGGUCGUAAAGCUCUGUUGAAUGGGAAGAAAAAAAUGACGGUACCAUUCGAGGAAGGACCGGCUAACUUCGUGCCAGCAGCCGCGGUAAUACGAGGGGUCCUAGCGUUGUUCGGAAUCAUUGGGCGUAAAGGGUGUGUAGGUGGCCAUGUAAGUCAGGUGUGAAAGCGCCGGGCUAAACCCGGGAAGUGCACUUGAUACUGCGUGGCUUGAGUACCGAAGAGGGUAGUGGAAUUCCAGGUGUAGUGGUGAAAUACGUAGAUAUCUGGAGGAACACCGGUGGCGAAGGCGGCUACCUGGUCGAGUACUGACACUGAGACACGAAAGCAUGGGGAUCAAACAGGAUUAGAAACCCGUAGUCC
Molecule: ribosomal RNA, 426 nt
Filed under: uncultured bacterium
Lineage: Bacteria
Description: partial 16S ribosomal RNA
Rfam family: Bacterial small subunit ribosomal RNA
Source: RNAcentral